UUCGCAGAGUGUAAAGGCACAAGGGAGCUUGACUGCGAGACAGACAGGUCGAGCAGGGACGAAAGUCGGGCUUAGUGAUCCGGUGGUACCGUAUGGAAGGGCCAUCGCUCAACGGAUAAAAGCUACCCUGGGGAUAACAGGCUUAUCUCCCCCAAGAGUCCACAUCGACGGGGAGGUUUGGCACCUCGAUGUCGGCUCAUCGCAUCCUGGGGCUGUA
This 217-nucleotide ribosomal RNA is filed under the name Lactobacillus delbrueckii subsp. bulgaricus. Its description in RNAcentral is "partial 23S ribosomal RNA". It matches the Rfam family "Bacterial large subunit ribosomal RNA", at positions 2341 to 2557 of the family's 2925-position model. The record is from RNAcentral. Lineage: Bacteria; Bacillati; Bacillota; Bacilli; Lactobacillales; Lactobacillaceae.